AGAGUGUCAUUGUCUGAAUAUGCAGAAAACAAAAAACAGCCACAACUGAUGAACUGAUCUGAUAACAACCAAUGCAACCAAAGAUCUGAUGUUAAAUGGAACCAGCUGCUCUCAACAGACAUCCCAGGAAACAAGUUGAAAAUUUUUUGGCAUCCCUACUCACCAUAAAACGUUGCACAAGAUCAGUGAGCCUAAGUGCCAGUCAGAAAUAUUUCCCAGCCCUUUUUUCAGGUCAGGAGAAAAACAGAAAAAAUAUCCUGGGUUUGAGCUGAGGACUGCACUAGAACAUUCAGAAAAUGAGAAAACUAGUAGAUAACUGGGUUCUAAUCUGCAUGUUGGAAGGUGCCAAUCAGGUUUCUACUUCAAGAGAAUGCAUUAAAGGAAUAAGAUAAAGGAGCUAGACAUACCAGAAACUUCAUAAAAAGAAAAUAAAUGUUUUAUUUUCCUUCCAAUCAUUCAGUGACUAGCAUGAAGCACCACCAUCCUCAUGCAAGGAGAUUCC
Podarcis raffonei (Aeolian wall lizard) is the source of this 502-nucleotide long non-coding RNA. RefSeq lists it as uncharacterized. The transcript has 5 exons. NCBI's taxonomy places the organism in Eukaryota, Metazoa, Chordata, Lepidosauria, Squamata, Lacertidae. The record is from RefSeq and is a predicted model, not a curated record.